UGACUGGAGCCAGUUCAGCUCAGAAAAGUCUUAUCUUAAUUCAUGAGAUAAAUUUAAGAUAACACCUGCUAAUUCCUGUCAUCUGCAAUUUUUGUUUUAGGAUAUAGCUCAAUUGAUUUGGAUUAGAUCCAAUUAGGUUCAAGGAAAUCAUGCUUGCACACGAUUGAGCCUAACUUUCUCCUCGUGUAAUUUUUCUAUCUCGACUGAGCCAAAUAUGAUUUGACUCACCCAG
This 232-nucleotide long non-coding RNA is filed under the name Elaeis guineensis (African oil palm). RNAcentral describes it as "long non-coding RNA (EGUI_LNC059138)". The record is from RNAcentral. Lineage: Eukaryota; Viridiplantae; Streptophyta; Magnoliopsida; Arecales; Arecaceae.